RNAcentral lists this small nucleolar RNA (89 nucleotides) under Sus scrofa (pig). RNAcentral's name for it is "Small nucleolar RNA SNORA70 (ENSSSCG00070021424.1)". It matches the Rfam family "Small nucleolar RNA SNORA70", at positions 45 to 135 of the family's 135-position model. Rfam says of the family: snoRNA U70 seems to be exclusive to mammals and is a member of the H/ACA class of snoRNA which contain H (ANANNA) and ACA box motifs. H/ACA box snoRNAs are involved in the conversion of uridines to pseudouridines (5-ribosyluracil) a constituent of structural RNAs (transfer, ribosomal, small nuclear, and small nucleolar). The record is from RNAcentral. Lineage: Eukaryota; Metazoa; Chordata; Mammalia; Artiodactyla; Suidae.
CUGUGUGCAAUGGCUGCAGAGUCGGCCUCCUUGGGAGUGUAUUCAGUCUGUUGCCUGUAUGGGUUGCCCUAAGGGCCUUGGAGGUAGUC